This 460-nucleotide ribosomal RNA is filed under the name uncultured bacterium. RNAcentral's name for it is "partial 16S ribosomal RNA". It matches the Rfam family "Bacterial small subunit ribosomal RNA", at positions 338 to 795 of the family's 1533-position model. The record is from RNAcentral.
CCUACGGGUGGCUGCAGUGAGGAAUAUUGGUCAAUGGACGAGAGUCUGAACCAGCCAAGUAGCGUGAAGGAUGACUGCCCUAUGGGUUGUAAACUUCUUUUAUAAAGGAAUAAAACGAGGCACGUGUGCCUUUUUGCAUGUACUUUAUGAAUAAGGAUCGGCUAACUCCGUGCCAGCAGCCGCGGUAAUACGGAGGGUGCGAGCGUUAAGCGGAAUUAUUGGGCGUAAAGCGCUCGUAGGCGGUAUGUCAAGUCAAGGGUGAAAUCCCCGCGCUCAACGUGGGAACUGCCGUUGAAACUGGCAAACUGGAGUGUGGGAGAGGAUAGUGGAAUUCCUGGUGUAGGAGUGAAAUCCGUAGAUAUCUGGAGGAACAUCAGUGGCGAAGGCGACUAGCUGGCACAUUACUGACGCUGAGGAGCGAAAGCGUGGGUAGCAAACAGGAUUAGAUACCCCUGUAGUC